AGAAUCAACGCUGGCGGCGUGCCUAACACAUGCAAGUCGAACGAGAAAGUGGAGCAAUCCAUGAGUAAAGUGGCGACCGGGUGAGUAACACGUGACUACCUACCCUUGAGUGGGGGAUAACCUCGGGAAACCGAGGCUAAUACCGCAUAACAUCGAAAGAUCAAAGGAGUAAUCCGCUUUUGGAGGGGUCGCGGCUGAUUAGCUAGUUGGUAGGGUAAUGGCCUACCAAGGCGAAGAUCGGUAUCC
This 246-nucleotide ribosomal RNA is filed under the name uncultured bacterium. Its description in RNAcentral is "partial small subunit ribosomal RNA". It matches the Rfam family "Bacterial small subunit ribosomal RNA", at positions 26 to 288 of the family's 1533-position model. The record is from RNAcentral.